RNAcentral lists this ribosomal RNA (476 nucleotides) under uncultured archaeon. Its description in RNAcentral is "bacterial SSU rRNA". It matches the Rfam family "Archaeal small subunit ribosomal RNA", at positions 365 to 842 of the family's 1478-position model. The record is from RNAcentral.
GUGUGAUAAGGGAAUCCCCAGUGCUUAUGUAAUGCAUAGGCUUUUGCCAAGUGUAAAAUGCUUGGCGAAUAAGUGGUGGGUAAGACUGGUGCCAGCCGCCGCGGUAACACCAGCGCCACGAGUGGUGACCGCGAUUAUUGGGCCUAAAGCGUCCGUAGCCGGUUUGAUAAAUCUCUUGUGAAAUUGUCUGACUCAACCAUACAACGUGCAAGAGACACUGUCAAACUCGAGACCGGGAGGAGUCAGAAGUAUUCCUGAGGGAGCGGUAAAAUGUUAUAAUCUCAGGAGGACUACCUGUGGCGAAGGCGUCUGACCAGAACGGAUCUGACGGUGAGGGACGAAAGCUAGGGGAGCGAACCGGAUUAGAUACCCGAGUAGUCCUAGCCGUAAACGCUGUGAGCUAGGUGUUGCACCAGCGACCUGUUGGUGCAGUGUCGAAAUGAAGAUGUUAAGCUCACCGCCUGGGAAGUACGGUC